RNAcentral lists this ribosomal RNA (253 nucleotides) under uncultured bacterium. RNAcentral's name for it is "partial 16S ribosomal RNA". It matches the Rfam family "Bacterial small subunit ribosomal RNA", at positions 524 to 776 of the family's 1533-position model. The record is from RNAcentral.
UACGUAGGGUGCGAGCGUUGUCCGGAAUUAUUGGGCGUAAAGAGCUCGUAGGCGGUUUGUUGCGUCUGUCGUGAAAACCUGCAGCUUAACUGUGGGCUUGCGGUGGAUACGGGCAGACUUGAGUUCGGUAGGGGAGACUGGAAUUCCUGGUGUAGCGGUGAAAUGCGCAGAUAUCAGGAGGAACACCGGUGGCGAAGGCGGGUCUCUGGGCCGAUACUGACGCUGAGGAGCGAAAGCGUGGGGAGCGAACAGG